Molecule: ribosomal RNA, 253 nt
Filed under: uncultured bacterium
Lineage: Bacteria
Description: partial 16S ribosomal RNA
Rfam family: Bacterial small subunit ribosomal RNA
Source: RNAcentral
UACGGAGGGUGCGAGCGUUGUCCGGAAUCACUGGGCGUAAAGGGCGCGUAGGCGGCCUGGUAAGUAGGGGGUGAAAUCCUGCGGCUUAACCGCAGGGCUGCCUUCUAAACUGUCAGGCUCGAGCACGGUAGAGGCAGAUGGAAUUCCCGGUGUAGCGGUGGAAUGCGUAGAGAUCGGGAAGAACACCGGUGGCGAAGGCGGUCUGCUGGGGUAAUGCUGACACUGAUGCGCGACAGCGUGGGGAGCAAACAGG